AGUCGAGCGAGCAAUUUUAACGGAAUACCUUCGGGUAGGAAGAUAAAAGCGCGAGCGGCGGAUGGGUGAGUAACACGUGGGCAACCUGCCCUUUAGCUUGGGAUACCACUUGGAAACAGGUGCUAAUACCAAAUAAGAAGCAAGAGCGCAUGCUCAAGCUAUGAAAGGCGGCUUUCGAGCUGUCACUAAAGGAUGGGCCCGCGGUGCAUUAGCUAGUUGGUAAGGUAACGGCUUACCAAGGCAAUGAUGCAUAGCCGAGUUGAGAGACUGAUCGGCCACAUUGGGACUGAGACACGGCCCAAACUCCUACGGGAGGCAGCAGUAGGGAAUCUUCCACAAUGGACGCAAGUCUGAUGGAGCAACGCCGCGUGAGUGAAGAAGGUUUUCGGAUCGUAAAGCUCUGUUGUUGGUGAAGAAGGAUAAGGAUAGUAACUGAUUCUUAUUUGACGGUAAUCAACCAGAAAGUCACGGCUAACUACGUGCCAGCAGCCGCGGUAAUACGUAGGUGGCAAGCGUUGUCCGGAUUUAUUGGGCGUAAAGCGAACGCAGGCGGGAGAACAAGUCAGCUGUGAAAGCCCUCGGCUUAACCGGGGAAGUGCAGCUGAAACUGUUUUUCUUGAGUGCAGAAGAGGAGAGUGGAACUCCAUGUGUAGCGGUGGAAUGCGUAGAUAUAUGGAAGAACACCAGUGGCGAAGGCGGCUCUCUGGUCUGUAACUGACGCUGAGGUUCGAAAGCAUGGGUAGCGAACAGGAUUAGGUACCCUGGUAGUCCAUGCCGUAAACGAUGAGUGCUAAGUGUUGGGGGGUUUCCGCCUCUCAGUGCUGCAGCUAACGCAUUAAGCACUCCGCCUGGGGAGUACGACCGCAAGGUUAAAACUCAAAGGAAUUGAC
This 890-nucleotide ribosomal RNA is filed under the name uncultured bacterium. Its description in RNAcentral is "bacterial SSU rRNA". It matches the Rfam family "Bacterial small subunit ribosomal RNA", at positions 60 to 914 of the family's 1533-position model. The record is from RNAcentral.